GGGGUUGUGACUUAGUGGUAGAGCGCUUGCUUCACAUGCAUGAGGUACUGGGUUCCAUUCUCAGCACCA
Molecule: transfer RNA, 69 nt
Filed under: Ictidomys tridecemlineatus (thirteen-lined ground squirrel)
Lineage: Eukaryota; Metazoa; Chordata; Mammalia; Rodentia; Sciuridae
Description: Spermophilus tridecemlineatus (thirteen-lined ground squirrel) tRNA
Rfam family: tRNA
About the family: Transfer RNA (tRNA) molecules are approximately 80 nucleotides in length. Their secondary structure includes four short double-helical elements and three loops (D, anti-codon, and T loops).
Source: Rfam by way of RNAcentral